GCUCCUGAGUAGCUGGGAUUACAGGCGCCCUCCACCACGCCCGGCGAAUUUUUGUAUCUUUAGUAGAGACAGGGUUUCACCACGUUGGCCAGGUUGGUCUUGAACUCCUGACCUCAUGAUCCGCCUGCCUCGGCCUCCCAAAGUGUUGGGAUUACAGGUGUGAGCCACCGCACCCGGCCUCUGAGAAAUAUUUAGAUUGUACGCCUCAAAUGGGCAGGGACUGUGUCUUACACUUUUGUAUUUAUGCUACAGCUUACCUAAUACAGUGCCAGGCCUCGUUAAACACUUAUUGAUUGCUCAGACGAUAAAGAACUUGCUUUGGAAGGAGGAGAGGAUAGUCAUGUGCUUCUGAAUGUAUUGAACUUCUUGAAAUCUCUUUCCUCAUCAAUUUUAGCAGAGUUUCUAUUGAAACUCCUAGGGUGUGUUUAUGGAAGACAAACUGAGAUGUGCUGUCCCAGCCUUAGGCCCUGGCAGUACGCCUUGCCUUUUCACGGCACACCCACUACAGCCUUUCCCACACUGUGACACUGGAGCUGGUGAGUCAAAUGCAUGGCAUGGGAAGCCCUCUCUAGGAGGAUGCUGUGGCCACACAAGUGCUGGACGAACCGCUGGAGUAGGUGACUUCCAAGGUGUCCUGAUGUAGUAGCUAUUAGACAAGCUCCUGCAUUUGGCCAGUAAUUAGCAUGCUGCUGCACAUUGCCACUAGGUGGUGCUGCUGCUCCAUUCCCAAGUAACCCACAUGCAUCCCUGGCUGGGGUCAGCCUUGGGGUUUCCCAAGUGUAGAGGAAUCCAUCUCUGUGCCUGUGGUAAUGGCUGGACACCAGGAGAGACCCAGAAAACAGGGAUAUCCUAGAAGAGAAAGGCAAAAUAAGCACUCAGAGCAGAGGACAUUUGAGUGUCAAUAAUGAAGGUGGCAGCAGUAAUCAUGGCUAUCAUUUACUAAAAAUAGUGGAUAUUGGCCAGACAUGGUGGCUCACACCUGUAAUCCCAGCAUUUUGGGAGACCAAGGUGGGUGGAUCACUUGAGGUCAGCAGUUCGAGACCAGCCCGGCCAACAUGGUGAAACUAUCUACUAAAAAUACAAAAAUUAGCCAGGUGUGGUGGUGCACGCCUGUAGUCCCAGCUACUUGGGAGGCUGAGGAAGGAGAAUCACUUGAACCUGGGAGGUGGAGGCUGUAGUGAGCUGAGAUCGCAUCACUGCACUCCAGCCUGGACAACAGAGCAAGACUGUCUCAAAAAAAAAAAGUAGAUACUGUGCUAGUCACUUGAUACACAUCAUCUCUGAUCUUUGCACUGAGCGAGGCAUGUGUAUUAUGUCUGCAUUACAAAAGGGGAAAAAUUAAGGUUCAAGAAGAUAAAGUCACCAGGCAUGGUGGCGCAUGCCUGUGAUCGCAGCACUUUAAGAGGCUGAGACAGGCGGAUUGGUUGAAUCCAGGAGUUCAAGACCAGCCUGGGCAACAUAGUGAGACCUCAUCUCUACAAAAAAAAUAAAAUUAGCUGGGUGUGGUGGUGUGUGCCUGUAGUCACAGCUCCUCGGGAGGCUGAUGUGGAAGGAUCACUUGAGCCCGGGAGAUAGAGGCUGCAGUGAGAUGAGACUGAGCCAUUGCACUCAGCCUAGGCAACAGAGUGAGACCCUGUCUCAAAACAAAACAGAAAUAACAAAAAAUAAGGUGACUUGCUGGAGGCCACAUGGCUGUGAGCCAAAUACAGGUCUGGGUUAUCAGGGCUCACAUACUUCUAAGUACACCCUACUGCCUUGGAAUCUGCUGAAGACCAAGCCCCUGCCCCCAAGCCAUGGCAAAGAAGGAGGGAAGGAAGCAAAGGUGCCCAGCGGGGACAACUCGGGGAGGGGCGAGGUGCCCAGGGCCCAGGAAGGCCAAGCAGCAUGUGGCAGGGCAGCAUCAGGUGACUCCCAAGAAGGAAUGAGGAGAGGAUAUGAGGAAAGAGCCACAGCACAGAGGCCUGCUGUUAGGUCAGCGGAGACCACGGCCCAUGGGACCUGGAUCUACCCUUGAUGCUAACAAUGUUCUUUGGGGAAAAAAUCUAUAAUCACAAAGUUUCUGCAACUGGACUGUAGUCAUGGUUGCAGAACUGUAUAGAUUUACUAGGAACCAUCAAAUUGUUCACUUACAAUGGGUAAAUUGUACAGUACAUAGGUUAUCCCUCAGUAAAGCUGUAUGAAAUUUAUAGUCAUGAAACUAAUAGUGACAAACGAGCUGGGUAAGUAGGUCUCAGCUGUUCUGUAGGCACUUUGAGAAGAGGAAGAGUAGCAUCUCGGUUUUAAUAAAAGAAAGCCUGGCCCAUGGCGUCCAGCUUCUGCUUGAAUACUUUCAGUGCCCGGGAGCUCAGUAUCUCAAAGCAGCCCACUCCUGUUUAAGAGAACUCUAAACCUUAGAAUGUUGAAAUACAUCAUUAUUAUUCUAGUACUGCUGUGAAAAAUAAAUGUCUUUGUUUUGCCACAUAA
RNAcentral lists this long non-coding RNA (2463 nucleotides) under Homo sapiens (human). Its description in RNAcentral is "non-protein coding lnc-LINC02210-CRHR1-52:17". The record is from RNAcentral. Lineage: Eukaryota; Metazoa; Chordata; Mammalia; Primates; Hominidae.